Etheostoma spectabile (orangethroat darter) is the source of this 690-nucleotide non-coding RNA. Lineage: Eukaryota; Metazoa; Chordata; Actinopteri; Perciformes; Percidae. The record is from the annotation of a RefSeq genome assembly.
GGUGCAUCAGUUCAGGAGGAGGACCAUGCAUUAUCACACCACCCAGAAUAAAAAAGAUGGAUUUCCAGAUGCAAGGGUUUACCCAGCAAUAUUCAGUAGAACUACAGUGAUGAAAACACAGUACGGAUAAGAAGAUUUUAAAAUUCAGUCAACAACAUGAUUGCUGUCUUCUGUCUGGCCCUCAAUGUCAUACUGGUUUCAAGUUCCUCUCUCGGUGACAAAGUCCACCAGACUCCAGCUAGUGUGUACAACAACCAAGGAAAAACAGCCAAAAUCCACUGUUCACACAGUAUUGACGGCUACGACCGAAUCCUCUGGUACAAGCAAUCGGACGGACAACUGCAGUUCCUGGGAUACAUGUUAGCAACCACUGGAGGAAACCCAGAGACUGGCCUGGGUGUGAAGAUAGAAGGGAGUGCAAACAAAGACCAGACCUGCACAUUAACAAUAGAAGAGCUCAGCCUGAGCAGCAGUGCAGUGUACUACUGUGCUGCUAGUUUACACAGUGCUGCGUAUCACUGCUCCUCAGUACAAAAACCUCCUCACAGCUGUGCUCCUUCCUCAGUCUAUCAUUACUCAGAUCUGUAUGCUGAGCCAGUGGUGUGUUAAAGGUAGUUACUGUGAGUUAUAUGCACAAUGACACCACCCACCUAACAACUUGGGAGGGUUUACUCAAAGAGGAGGCUGGAA